UGGGGAAUUUUGGACAAUGGGCGCAAGCCUGAUCCAGCCAUGCCGCGUGCGGGAAGAAGGCCUUCGGGUUGUAAACCGCUUUUAGCCGGGAAGAAAAGGUCACGGACAACACCCGUGAUUCUUGACGGUACCGGCGGAAUAAGCACCGGCUAACUACGUGCCAGCAGCCGCGGUAAUACGUAGGGUGCGAGCGUUAAUCGGAAUUACUUGGCGUAAAGCGUGCGCAGGCGGUUCGUUAAGUUCGUUGUGAAAGCCCCGGGCUCAACCUGGGAACGGCAAUGGAAACUGGCGGACUCGAGUGUGGCAGAGGGGGGCGGAAUUCCACGUGUAGCAGUGAAAUGCGUAGAGAUGUGGAGGAACACCGAUGGCGAAGGCAACCCCCUGGGCUAACACUGACGCUCAGGCACGAAAGCGUGGGGAGCAAAC
RNAcentral lists this ribosomal RNA (426 nucleotides) under uncultured bacterium. RNAcentral describes it as "bacterial SSU rRNA". It matches the Rfam family "Bacterial small subunit ribosomal RNA", at positions 355 to 773 of the family's 1533-position model. The record is from RNAcentral.